This 96-nucleotide transfer RNA is filed under the name Paenibacillus sp. J31TS4. Its description in RNAcentral is "tRNA-Arg". Lineage: Bacteria; Bacillati; Bacillota; Bacilli; Caryophanales; Paenibacillaceae. The record is from RNAcentral.
CGACGACGUCGAGCGGCUCCUUGGCCCGCUUCUCGUCCUUCGGGAACAAGCGGAGUCCUAAGACGAGUGCCGCCGCGCCGAUCGGCACGUUGAUGA